UGCCGUGAUCAGGAUUUGAACCUGGGUUAUUUUGGCCACAACGCAAUGUCCUAACCACUAGACGAACACGGC
RNAcentral lists this transfer RNA (72 nucleotides) under Cordylochernes scorpioides. RNAcentral's name for it is "tRNA-His". The record is from RNAcentral. Lineage: Eukaryota; Metazoa; Arthropoda; Arachnida; Pseudoscorpiones; Chernetidae.